GUUUGAGAGAAGGACGGUGGCUAAUGUUAGAACUAGAUGACGCAAAAGUUAUUGAAUGCUAAUGUUCAGUUUCCUUUAUGAGCUGAUGCUAAGAACUAAAAACUUGCAAGUCUGUAGUAAUGCAAAAAUAUGCAAUGAAUAAAAAUAUGAUUUUACAAGAAAUAUCUUAUCAUCACUCUCUAAUCAUUCUCUCAGACAAUAUUUUACAAACCAGUUGAAUUUUUUCGGCUGAUCUGGAAUUAACCCAGGAAAUAUGUUAAAAAGUUCUAUCGCCAAGCAUUAAUUUAGAUGGCAUGGUGAUGAUUUAUGAGAUAGAAAA
Molecule: long non-coding RNA, 319 nt
Filed under: Carica papaya (papaya)
Lineage: Eukaryota; Viridiplantae; Streptophyta; Magnoliopsida; Brassicales; Caricaceae
Description: long non-coding RNA (CPAP_LNC006670)
Source: RNAcentral